GACGAACGCUGGCGGCGUGCUUAACACAUGCAAGUCGAACGGCAAGGCCCUGCUUUUGUUGGUUGCUCGAGUGGCGAACGGGUGAGUAACACGUGUGUAACCUGCCCUUGACUUUGGGAUAACUUCAGGAAACUUGGGCUAAUACCGGAUAGUAUCUCCUGCUGCAUGGUGGUGGUUGGAAAUUUUCGUCUGUUGGGGAUGGACUCGCUGCUUAUCAGCUUGUUGGUGGGGUAGUGGCUUACCAAGGCUUUGACGGGUAUCCGGCCUGAGAGGGUGACCGGAGAAAUUGGGACUGAGAUACGGACCAGAAUACUACGGGAGGCAGCAGGGGGGAAUAGUGCACAAUGGGAGGAAGACUGAUGAAGAAACGCAGCGUGCGGGAUGACGGCAUUCGGGUUGUAAACCGAUUUCGCAUGUGAAGAAGAAUGAGUGACGGUAAUGGGUAAAGAAGCAACGGCUAACUACGUG
Molecule: ribosomal RNA, 468 nt
Filed under: uncultured bacterium
Lineage: Bacteria
Description: partial 16S ribosomal RNA
Rfam family: Bacterial small subunit ribosomal RNA
Source: RNAcentral